GUAGCUCCUAUACGGUGACACACAUUGA
Molecule: small RNA, 28 nt
Filed under: Bombyx mori (domestic silkworm)
Lineage: Eukaryota; Metazoa; Arthropoda; Insecta; Lepidoptera; Bombycidae
Description: ovarian small RNA-17653
Source: RNAcentral